GGAUUUAUGAUGAGCUGUGUUUACUGAGCAUGAUGAAAUGAGGCUCAAAGUGAUGAUUACUCUGAAAUCU
RNAcentral lists this small nucleolar RNA (70 nucleotides) under Microtus ochrogaster (prairie vole). RNAcentral describes it as "Small Nucleolar RNA SNORD64 (ENSMOCG00000005910.1)". It matches the Rfam family "Small Nucleolar RNA SNORD64". Rfam says of the family: The human snoRNA HBII-13 belongs to the C/D family of snoRNAs. Lineage: Eukaryota; Metazoa; Chordata; Mammalia; Rodentia; Cricetidae. The record is from Rfam by way of RNAcentral.